UAUAGAUUAGGCGACUCUCUUGUAUCCUUGGACUUUUUGCUCUUCGAUCGCUCCGGCUCCGUAUAUUUUUUUCCUGGAAUGGAUCGCUUAUAAUUACACACCGGCUGGCUAUAGAUAGCGAGACUCGACGCUCUUUUACAAUACGGUGUUACUCCUAAUCAAAAUUCACACACAUCGAAAAGCAGAUCACUUCGCACUCUCAGUCUCGCUCAGUCGCUCGCUCGCGCGCGCGCACAGAGCGAGGCUAUAAUUACUCGCUAACUCGAAAAUCACUCGAGCGGUUCAUCGACCUCGACGCCCUCCAGCUUCGUUCUCCGAAGAGCAUAGCGCAUCAGUUUUCGAUUCGACUGUGCUAUGGAGUGCAGUUCGAAAUUCCUCGCGUCGUUCUGUGACACGCAAACGAGGAGUGAUCGAAGAAGCCCCGGCGAGAGAAAAGUACACGCGUGUAUAGAAUCGCGAGUCGAUAGACGGGAAACCGGUCGCAUCGUCGUCCAAUGCUCUUUCCCUCUGAGAUUCGCCGCAUUAUAAUGAGACUACUCCUGGCGACUGUACGUCCACCGGAUUAACUUUUGUAUGAAUAAAGUGUAUAUAACGAAGUCGUUUCCUCGGGA
Long non-coding RNA from Nasonia vitripennis (jewel wasp), 611 nucleotides. RefSeq lists it as uncharacterized. Lineage: Eukaryota; Metazoa; Arthropoda; Insecta; Hymenoptera; Pteromalidae. The transcript is spliced from 2 exons. The record is from RefSeq and is a predicted model, not a curated record.